GAAGGUGGCUAGCGUUGCUCGGAUUUACUGGGCAUAAAGCGCGCGUAGGUGGUCCUGUAAGCGGGGGAUGAAAGCCCAUGGCUCACCCAUGGAACUGUCCUUCGGACUGCAGGGCUGGAGGGCGGGAGGGGAGAAUGGAAUUCCCGGUGUAGCGGUGAAAUGCGUAGAUAUCGGGAGGAACGCCGGUGGCGAAAGCGAUUCUCUGGCCCGUUCCUGACACUGAUGCGCGAGAGCUAGGGGAGCAAACAGGAUUAGAUACCCUGGUAGUCCUAGCUGUAAACGAUGGGCACUGGGUAGAGGAGGUGUCGAUACCUUCUUUGCCGAAGCAAAUGUGUUAAGUGCCCCGCCUGGGGAGUACGGUCGCAAGGCUAAA
Molecule: ribosomal RNA, 373 nt
Filed under: uncultured bacterium
Lineage: Bacteria
Description: bacterial SSU rRNA
Rfam family: Bacterial small subunit ribosomal RNA
Source: RNAcentral